RNAcentral lists this ribosomal RNA (254 nucleotides) under uncultured bacterium. Its description in RNAcentral is "partial 16S ribosomal RNA". It matches the Rfam family "Bacterial small subunit ribosomal RNA", at positions 524 to 776 of the family's 1533-position model. The record is from RNAcentral.
UACGGGGGGGGCAAGCGUUGUUCGGAAUUACUGGGCGUAAAGGGCUCGUAGGCGGCCAACUAAGUCGGAUGUGAAAUCCCCAGGCUUAACCUGGGAACUGCAUCCGAUACUGGAUGGCUUGAAUCCGGGAGAGGGAUGCGGAAUUCCAGGUGUAGCGGUGAAAUGCGUAGAUAUCUGGAGGAACACCGGUGGCGAAGGCGGCAUCCUGGACCAACACUGACGCUGAGUGAGCGAAAGCCAGGGGAGCAAACGGG